GAUGAACGCUGGCGGCGUGCCUAAUACAUGCAAGUCGAGCGAACAGACGAGGAGCUUGCUCCUCUGACGUUAGCGGCGGACGGGUGAGUAACACGUGGAUAACCUACCUAUAAGACUGGGAUAACUUCGGGAAACCGGAGCUAAUACCGGAUAAUAUAUUGAACCGCAUGGUUCAAUAGUGAAAGACGGUUUUGCUGUCACUUAUAGAUGGAUCCGCGCCGCAUUAGCUAGUUGGUAAGUUAACGGCUUUCCAAGGCGACGAUGCGUAGCCGACCUGAGAGGGUGAUAGGCCACACUGGAACUGGGACACGGUCCAGACUCCUACGGGAGGCCGCAGUAGGGAAUCUUCCGCAAUGGGCGAAAGCCUGACGGAGCAACGCCGCGUGAGUGAUGAAGGUCUUCGGAUCGUAAAACUCUGUUAUUAGGGAAGAACAAAUGUGUAAGUAACUAUGCACGUAUUGACGGUACCUAAUCAGAAAGCCACGGCUAACUACGUG
Molecule: ribosomal RNA, 497 nt
Filed under: uncultured bacterium
Lineage: Bacteria
Description: partial 16S ribosomal RNA
Rfam family: Bacterial small subunit ribosomal RNA
Source: RNAcentral